AUUUAAAUAGUUUAUAAAAACAUUGAUUUGUGGAGUCAAAGAUGUACAAUUGUAUUUUAAAUA
This 63-nucleotide transfer RNA is filed under the name Lytta caraganae. RNAcentral's name for it is "tRNA-His". Lineage: Eukaryota; Metazoa; Arthropoda; Insecta; Coleoptera; Meloidae. The record is from RNAcentral.